UGGGGAAUAUUGGACAAUGGGCGCAAGCCUGAUCCAGCCAUGCCGCGUGAGUGAUGAAGGCCUUAGGGUUGUAAAGCUCUUUUGGCGGGGACGAUAAUGACGGUACCCGCAGAAUAAGUCCCGGCUAACUUCGUGCCAGCAGCCGCGGUAAUACGAAGGGGACUAGCGUUGUUCGGAAUCACUGGGCGUAAAGCGCACGUAGGCGGAUAUGUCAGUCAGGGGUGAAAUCCCGGGGCUCAACCUCGGAACUGCCCUUGAUACAGCAUGUCUUGAGUCCGAUAGAGGUGGGUGGAAUUCCUAGUGUAGAGGUGAAAUUCGUAGAUAUUAGGAAGAACACCGGUGGCGAAGGCGGCCCACUGGAUCGGUACUGACGCUGAGGUGCGAAAGCGUGGGGAGCAAA
RNAcentral lists this ribosomal RNA (400 nucleotides) under uncultured bacterium. RNAcentral describes it as "bacterial SSU rRNA". It matches the Rfam family "Bacterial small subunit ribosomal RNA", at positions 355 to 772 of the family's 1533-position model. The record is from RNAcentral.